This 793-nucleotide long non-coding RNA is filed under the name Manacus vitellinus (golden-collared manakin). Its description in RNAcentral is "lncRNA (ENSMVIG00005002944.1)". Lineage: Eukaryota; Metazoa; Chordata; Aves; Passeriformes; Pipridae. The record is from RNAcentral.
CAUCUUUAGGUCUUUCUCAAUGUGUUGCUGGUCCUGGGAACUACAGCAGCUUCUGACACAGCUCAUCCAAACUCUUCAAGAAGAGCGGACUUUCUCCCUACCUUUCUGGCCUUCCCUCAAGCCCAGUAAUCAAAAGAAAACACUGGAAAAAGAUUAAAACUCAGAGACAAGACUUAAAAACCAGGAGAACUGAAAAGAUGACUGAAGAGGCUUACCAGGAGUUGAGAUGAGGUUGAGACACCUGGAGACCCUCAUGAAAUAAUGACAUUAGCAGAAAGCAGUAUAGGGCAUUUUCUGUUCAGAAAGAAAAAAACCAAAAAUACACAGAGAAUUACUUGUGAAGUGACUGCUAAAACAAGAGAGGACAAAACCAAAGCAUCAAGCUUUUACAACGAUCUCCUAAUACAAGCAAUCAAAUACCUGGCUACAUUUCAGCUCCAACAAUUGCAGCUGCAGUCCCACCUCAGUAUAAGUGAGAAAUACAAGCAAGUAAGUGCCAACUGGGUUUCAGUCUCAAAUACUUCAGUAUCUCCUGCCCUGAAGGACAUUUUGAACUGCAGUGGUGGUAAAAGCCUUCCUGCAUGAACUCCUUAAGGCUCCUUUACAACAACCCCUUUACUGAGGAAACAGAGAAGUGUCUGUAUUUUAGCAAAACAACCUGUUUUCCAAGUUCUAAAAAUAGAAAAGAAAAAAAAUAUUAAAACUGUCUGUCAUUUUGAAAGCACUCACAAGCAUUUCAUCCUAAGCAACACAGCCUCCCCCCUUGCUAAAAAUAAAACAGUACAUUACAGCA